AGGCGACGACGGGUAGCCGGCCUGAGAGGGUGAUCGGCCCAUUGGGACUGAGAUACGGCCCAGACUCCUACGGGAGGCAGCAGUGGGGAAUAUUGCACAAUGGGCGGAAGCCUGAUGCAGCGACGCCGCGUGAGGGAUGACGGCCUUCGGGUUGUAAACCUCUUUCAGCAGGGACGAAGCGUAAGUGACGGUACCUGCAGAAGAAGCACCGGCUAACUAUGUGCCAGCAGCCGCGGUAAUACGUAGGGUGCGAGCGUUGUCCGGAAUUACUGGGCGUAAAGAGCUCGUAGGCGGUUUGUCACGUCGUCUGUGAAAUCCUAGGGCUUAACCCUGGACGUGCAGGCGAUACGGGCUGACUUGAGUACUACAGGGGAGACUGGAAUUUCUGGUGUAGCGGUGGAAUGCACAGAUAUCAGGAAGAACACCGAUGGCGAAGGCAGGUCUCUGGGUAGUAACUGACGCUGAGGAGCGAAAGCAUGGGUAGCGAACAGGAUUAGAUACCCUGGUAGUCCAUGCCGUAAACGGUGGGCGCUAGGUGUGGGGUUCCUUCCACGGGCUCCGCGCCGUAGCUAACGCAUUAAGCGCCCCGCCUGGGGAGUACGGCCGCAAGGCUAAAACUCAAAGAAAUUGACGGGGGCCCGCACAAGCGGCGGAGCAUGUGGAUUAAUUCGAUGCAACGCGAAGAACCUUACCUGGGCUUGACAUAUAGAGGAUCGCUACAGAGAUGUGGUUUCCCUUGUGGCUUCUAUACAGGUGGUGCAUGGUUGUCGUCAGCUCGUGUCGUGAGAUGUUGGGU
RNAcentral lists this ribosomal RNA (796 nucleotides) under uncultured bacterium. RNAcentral's name for it is "bacterial SSU rRNA". It matches the Rfam family "Bacterial small subunit ribosomal RNA", at positions 271 to 1080 of the family's 1533-position model. The record is from RNAcentral.